AACGAACGCUGGCGGCAGGCUUAACACAUGCAAGUCGAGCGCCCCGCAAGGGGAGCGGCAGACGGGUGAGUAACGCGUGGGAACGUACCUUUUGGUUCGGAAAAACUCCGGGAAACUGGAGCUAAUACCGGAUAAGCCCUAACGGGGAAAGAUUUAUCGCCGAAAGAUCGGCCCGCGUCUGAUUAGCUAGUUGGUGAGGUAACGGCUCACCAAGGCGACGAUCAGUAGCUGGUCUGAGAGGAUGAUCAGCCACACUGGGACUGAGACACGGCCCAGACUCCUACGGGAGGCAGCAGUGGGGAAUAUUGGACAAUGGGCGCAAGCCUGAUCCAGCCAUGCCGCGUGAGUGAUGAAGGCCUUAGGGUUGUAAAGCUCUUUUGUCCGGGAAGAUAAUGACUGUACCGGAAGAAUAAGCCCCGGCUAACUUCGUG
This 431-nucleotide ribosomal RNA is filed under the name uncultured bacterium. Its description in RNAcentral is "partial 16S ribosomal RNA". It matches the Rfam family "Bacterial small subunit ribosomal RNA", at positions 29 to 507 of the family's 1533-position model. The record is from RNAcentral.